CGGACGGGUGAGUAACACGUGAGCAACCUGCCUUUCAGAGGGGGACAACAGUUGGAAACGACUGCUAAUACCGCAUAAAAUAACGGAACCGCAUGAUUCUGUUAUCAAAGGAGAAAUCCGCUGAAAGAUGGGCUCGCGUCUGAUUAGAUAGUUGGUGAGGUAACGGCCCACCAAGUCACGAUCAGUAGCCGGACUGAGAGGUUGAACGGCCACAUUGGGACUGAGACACGGCCCAGACUCCUACGGGAGGCAGCAG
RNAcentral lists this ribosomal RNA (256 nucleotides) under uncultured bacterium. Its description in RNAcentral is "partial 16S ribosomal RNA". It matches the Rfam family "Bacterial small subunit ribosomal RNA", at positions 99 to 354 of the family's 1533-position model. The record is from RNAcentral.